GGGCUCGUAGCUCAGUUGGCUAGAGCGCGUCAUUUGCAAUGACGAGGUCAGGGGUUCGAGACCCCUCGAGUCCA
RNAcentral lists this transfer RNA (74 nucleotides) under bacterium. RNAcentral describes it as "tRNA-Ala". It matches the Rfam family "tRNA". Rfam says of the family: Transfer RNA (tRNA) molecules are approximately 80 nucleotides in length. RNAcentral also lists the same sequence under 2 other names. The record is from RNAcentral.